Molecule: ribosomal RNA, 486 nt
Filed under: Neisseria flavescens
Lineage: Bacteria; Pseudomonadati; Pseudomonadota; Betaproteobacteria; Neisseriales; Neisseriaceae
Description: bacterial SSU rRNA
Rfam family: Bacterial small subunit ribosomal RNA
Source: RNAcentral
AUUGAACGCUGGCGGCAUGCUUUACACAUGCAAGUCGGACGGCAGCACAGAGAAGCUUGCUUCUUGGGUGGCGAGUGGCGAACGGGUGAGUAACAUAUCGGAACGUACCGAGUAAUGGGGGAUAACUAAUCGAAAGAUUAGCUAAUACCGCAUAUUCUCUGAGGAGGAAAGCAGGGGACCUUCGGGCCUUGCGUUAUUUGAGCGGCCGAUAUCUGAUUAGCUAGUUGGUGGGGUAAAGGCCUACCAAGGCGACGAUCAGUAGCGGGUCUGAGAGGAUGAUCCGCCACACUGGGACUGAGACACGGCCCAGACUCCUACGGGAGGCAGCAGUGGGGAAUUUUGGACAAUGGGCGCAAGCCUGAUCCAGCCAUGCCGCGUGUCUGAAGAAGGCCUUCGGGUUGUAAAGGACUUUUGUCCAGGGAAGAAAAGGCUGUCGCUAAUACCGACAGCUGAUGACGGUACCUGAAGAAUAAGCACCGUAAUACA